Cinara cedri is the source of this 474-nucleotide non-coding RNA. The record is from the annotation of a GenBank genome assembly. Lineage: Eukaryota; Metazoa; Arthropoda; Insecta; Hemiptera; Aphididae.
GUUGAACGUUUCAUCAUAAAUGAAAAAUUUCAAACGGUAAUUCCAACAGUAUCAUCAUUUAUUUAAUUAAAUAUUAGAAGUAUAAAACAAUAAUAUAUAGGUAUUCUUAAGUGAACGAUCAGAUAAAAAUAUAGCAGCCAGUUGAAUUUUCAUCAUAAAUGAAAAAUUUCAAACGGUAAUUCCAACAGUAUCAUCAUUUAUUUAGUUUAAUAUUAGAAGUAUAAAACAAUAAUACAUAGAUAUUCUUAAAUGAACGAUCAGAUAAAAAUAUAGCAGCCAGUUGAAUGUUUCAUCACAAAUGAAAAAUUUCAAACGGUAAUUCCAACAGUAUCAUCAUUUAUUUAAUAAUAUUGAAUGUAAAAUAUACUUAUAUUUAAGUUUUCGUAAGUGAAGGGUACUGAGAAAACCAACCAAGCCAUUUUGUUUGAAUAGAUAUGGGUAUCAUACAAUUAUUUAUAUUGUAUAUUUAUGUGA